This 253-nucleotide ribosomal RNA is filed under the name uncultured bacterium. Its description in RNAcentral is "partial 16S ribosomal RNA". It matches the Rfam family "Bacterial small subunit ribosomal RNA", at positions 524 to 776 of the family's 1533-position model. The record is from RNAcentral.
UACGUAGGGGGCAAGCGUUGUCCGGAAUCAUUGGGCGUAAAGAGCGUGUAGGCGGCCCGAUAAGUCCGCUGUGAAAGUCCAGGGCUCAAUCCUGGGAUGCCGGUGGAUACUGUCGGGCUCGAGUCCGGAAGAGGAGUGUGGAAUUCCUGGUGUAGCGGUGAAAUGCGCAGAUAUCAGGAGGAACACCAAUGGCGAAGGCAGCACUCUGGGACGUGACUGACGCUGAGACGCGAAAGCGUGGGGAGCAAACAGG